Molecule: ribosomal RNA, 505 nt
Filed under: uncultured bacterium
Lineage: Bacteria
Description: partial 16S ribosomal RNA
Rfam family: Bacterial small subunit ribosomal RNA
Source: RNAcentral
GAUGAACGCUAGCUACAGGCUUAACACAUGCAAGUCGAGGGGUAACGAGAGGAAAGCUUGCUUUCCUUGUCGACGACCGGCGCACGGGUGAGUAACGCGUAUCCAACCUGCCCCCAACUAGGGAAUAACCUUGCGAAAGUAAGACUAAUACCCUAUAAUUUCCUCAGAUGUCAUCUGACGAGGAAUAAAGAUUUAUCGGUUGUGGAUGGGGAUGCGUCUGAUUAGCUUGUUGGCGGGGUAACGGCCCACCAAGGCAACGAUCAGUAGGGGUUCUGAGAGGAAGGUCCCCCCCAUUGGAACUGGGACACGGUCCAAACUCGUACGGGAGACAGCUGUGAGGAAUAUUGGUCAAUGGGCGGAAGCCUGAACCAGCCAGGUGGCGUGAAGGAUGACGGCCCUAUGGGUUGUAAACUGCUUUUAUACAGGAAUAAAGUUAGCCACGUGUGGUUAUUUGUAGGUACUGUAUGAAUAAGGACCGGCUAAUUCCGUGCCAGCCGCCGCCGUA